UGGGGAAUAUUGCACAAUGGGCGCAAGCCUGAUGCAGCCAUGCCGCGUGUAUGAAGAAGGCCUUCGGGUUGUAAAGUACUUUCAGCGGGGAGGAAGGCGAUAAGGUUAAUAACCUUGUCGAUUGACGUUACCCGCAGAAGAAGCACCGGCUAACUCCGUGCCAGCAGCCGCGGUAAUACGGAGGGUGCAAGCGUUAAUCGGAAUUACUGGGCGUAAAGCGCACGCAGGCGGUCUGUCAAGUCGGAUGUGAAAUCCCCGGGCUCAACCUGGGAACUGCAUUCGAAACUGGCAGGCUAGAGUCUUGUAGAGGGGGGUAGAAUUCCAGGUGUAGCGGUGAAAUGCGUAGAGAUCUGGAGGAAUACCGGUGGCGAAGGCGGCCCCCUGGACAAAGACUGACGCUCAGGUGCGAAAGAGUGGGGAGCAAACA
RNAcentral lists this ribosomal RNA (427 nucleotides) under uncultured bacterium. Its description in RNAcentral is "partial 16S ribosomal RNA". It matches the Rfam family "Bacterial small subunit ribosomal RNA", at positions 355 to 774 of the family's 1533-position model. The record is from RNAcentral.